Molecule: ribosomal RNA, 493 nt
Filed under: uncultured bacterium
Lineage: Bacteria
Description: partial 16S ribosomal RNA
Rfam family: Bacterial small subunit ribosomal RNA
Source: RNAcentral
AUUGAACGCUGGCGGCAUGCUUUACACAUGCAAGUCGAACGGUAACAGGUUAAGCUGACGAGUGGCGAACGGGUGAGUAAUGCAUCGGAACGUGCCCGGUCGUGGGGGAUAACGCAGAGAAAGCUGCGCUAAUACCGCAUACGAUCUAAGGAUGAAAGCGGGGGACCGUAAGGCCUCGCGCGAUCGGAGCGGCCGAUGUCAGAUUAGGUAGUUGGUGGGGUAAAGGCUCACCAAGCCAACGAUCUGUAGCUGGUCUGAGAGGACGACCAGCCACACUGGGACUGAGACACGGCCCAGACUCCUACGGGAGGCAGCAGUGGGGAAUUUUGGACAAUGGGCGAAAGCCUGAUCCAGCAAUGCCGCGUGCAGGAAGAAGGCCUUCGGGUUGUAAACUGCUUUUGUACGGAGCGAAAAGGUCUCCUCCAAUACAGGGGGCUCAUGACGGUACCGUAAGAAUAAGCACCGGCUAACUACGUGCCAGCAGCCGCCGUAA